Molecule: ribosomal RNA, 301 nt
Filed under: uncultured bacterium
Lineage: Bacteria
Description: partial 16S ribosomal RNA
Rfam family: Bacterial small subunit ribosomal RNA
Source: RNAcentral
CAGCAGCCACGGUAAUACGUAGGGUGCGAGCGUUAAUCGGAAUUACUGGGCGUAAAGCGUGCGCAGGCGGUUGUGUAAGACAGGUGUGAAAUCCCCGGGCUUAACCUGGGAACUGCGCUUGUGACUGCACAGCUAGAGUAUGGCAGAGGGGGGUGGAAUUCCACGUGUAGCAGUGAAAUGCGUAGAGAUGUGGAGGAACACCGAUGGCGAAGGCAGCCCCCUGGGCCAAUACUGACGCUCAUGCACGAAAGCGUGGGGAGCAAACAGGAUUAGAUACCCGUGUAGUCCCUGUCUCUUAACA